UUGCACGCUGGCGGCAGGCCUAACACAUGCAAGUCGAACGGUAACAGGGAUCAGCUUGCUGAUUCGCUGACGAGUGGCGGACGGGUGGGUAAUGUCUGGGAAACUGCCUGAUGGAGGGGGAUAACUACUGGAAACGGUAGCUAAUACCGCAUAACGUCGCAAGACCAAAGAGGGGGACCUUCGGGCCUCUUGCCAUCGGAUGUGCCCAGAUGGGAUUAGCUAGUAGGUGGGGUAACGGCUCACCUAGGCGACGAUCCCUAGCUGGUCUGAGAGGAUGACCAGCCACACUGGAACUGAGACACGGUCCAGACUCCUACGGGAGGCAGCAGUGGGGAAUAUUGCACAAUGGGCGCAAGCCUGAUGCAGCCAUGCCGCGUGUAUGAAGAAGGCCUUCGGGUUGUAAAGUACUUUCAGCGGGGAGGAAGGGAGUAAAGUUAAUACCUUUGCUCAUUGACGUUACCCGCAGAAGAAGCACCGGCUAACUCCGUG
Molecule: ribosomal RNA, 489 nt
Filed under: uncultured bacterium
Lineage: Bacteria
Description: partial 16S ribosomal RNA
Rfam family: Bacterial small subunit ribosomal RNA
Source: RNAcentral